GACGAACGCUGGCGGCGUGCUUAACACAUGCAAGUCGAACGGUGAAGGGACCAGCUUGCUGGUUCUGGCUGAGUGGCGAACGGGUGAGUAACACGUGAGUAACCUGCCCCCUUCUUCUGGAUAACUGCAUGAAAGUGUGGCUAAUACGGGAUAUUCUGGGUCUGUCGCAUGGCGGGCCCGGGAAAGAUAUUGCUUCGGUGGGGGAUGGGCUCGCGGCCUAUCAGCUUGUUGGUGGGGUGAUGGCCUACCAAGGCGGUGACGGGUAGCCGGCCUGAGAGGGUGGACGGUCACACUGGGACUGAGACACGGCCCAGACUCCUACGGGAGGCAGCAGUGGGGAAUAUUGCACAAUGGGCGCAAGCCUGAUGCAGCGACGCCGCGUGAGGGAUGGAGGCCUUCGGGUUGUAAACCUCUUUCGCCAGUGAAGCAGGCCUGCUCCUUGUGGGUGGGUUGACGGUAGCUGGAUAAGAAGCGCCGGCUAACUACGUG
Molecule: ribosomal RNA, 489 nt
Filed under: uncultured bacterium
Lineage: Bacteria
Description: partial 16S ribosomal RNA
Rfam family: Bacterial small subunit ribosomal RNA
Source: RNAcentral